GAUGAACGCUGACAGAAUGCUUAACACAUGCAAGUCGAGGGGUAUAGUUCUUCGGAACUAGAGACCGGCGCACGGGUGCGUAACGCGUAUGCAAUCUACCUUUUGCAGAGGGAUAGCCCAGAGAAAUUUGGAUUAAUACCUCAUAGUAUGUGAGAAUGGCAUCAUUUUCACAUUAAAGUCACAACGGCUAAAGAUGAGCAUGCGUCCCAUUAGCUAGAUGGUAAGGUAACGGCUUACCAUGGCGACGAUGGGUAGGGGUCCUGAGAGGGAGAUCCCCCAUACUGGUACUGAGACACGGACCAGACUCCUACGGGAGGCAGCAGUGAGGAAUAUUGGACAAUGGGCUCAAGCCUGAUCCCAGCCCAUGCCGCGUGCAGGAUGAC
This 383-nucleotide ribosomal RNA is filed under the name uncultured bacterium. RNAcentral's name for it is "bacterial SSU rRNA". It matches the Rfam family "Bacterial small subunit ribosomal RNA", at positions 28 to 412 of the family's 1533-position model. The record is from RNAcentral.